ACGGAAGGCAGCAGUGGGGGAUAUUGCACAAUGGGCGAAAGCCUGAUGCAGCGACGCCGCGUGAGGGAAGACGGUUUUCGGAUUGUAAACCUCUGUCUUCGGGGACGAAAAAGGACGGUACCCGAGGAGGAAGCCACGGCUAACUACGUGCCAGCAGCCGCGGUGAUACGUAGGUGGCAAGCGUUGUCCGGAAUUACUGGGUGUAAAGGGAGAGUAGGCGGGACUGCAAGUCCGUUGUUAAAUCUAUCGGCUCAACCGGUAGCUGCGGCGGAAACUGUAGUUCUUGAGUGAAGUAGAGGCAGGCGGAAUUCCUAGUGUAGCGGUGAAAUGCGUAGAUAUUAGGAAGAACACCAGUGGCGAAGGCGGAUUACUGGACGACAACUGACGGUGAGGCGCGAAAGCGUGGGGAGCAAACAGGAUUAGAUACCCUGGUA
Molecule: ribosomal RNA, 434 nt
Rfam family: Bacterial small subunit ribosomal RNA